AUUAGUGGCGAACGGGUGAGUAACACGUGAGUAACCUGCCCUUGACUCUGGGAUAAGCGUUGGAAACGACGUCUAAUACCGGAUACGAGCUUCAGCCGCAUGGCUAGGAGCUGGAAAGAAUUUCGGUCAAGGAUGGACUCGCGGCCUAUCAGCUUGUUGGUGAGGUAAUGGCUCACCAAGGCGACGACGGGUAGCCGGCCUGAGAGGGUGACCGGCCACACUGGGACUGAGACACGGCCCAGACUCCUACGGGAGGCAGCAGUGGGGAAUAUUGCACAAUGGGCGCAAGCCUGAUGCAGCAACGCCGCGUGAGGGACGACGGCCUUCGGGUUGUAAACCUCUUUUAGCAGGGAAGAAGCGAAAGUGACGGUACCUGCAGAAAAAGCACCGGCUAACUACGUGCCAGCAGCCGCGGUAAUACGUAGGGUGCAAGCGUUGUCCGGAAUUAUUGGGCGUAAAGAGCUCGUAGGCGGUUUGUCGCGUCUGCUGUGAAAACGCGAGGCUCA
RNAcentral lists this ribosomal RNA (506 nucleotides) under bacterium EP2.03. Its description in RNAcentral is "bacterial SSU rRNA". It matches the Rfam family "Bacterial small subunit ribosomal RNA", at positions 91 to 611 of the family's 1533-position model. RNAcentral also lists the same sequence under 11 other names. The record is from RNAcentral.